CUAUAAAAGAUGUAACAGAUGCAAACUGUAACACAAGGGCCAUUAACCCUUUCUCUGCCAAGCACACUCAGUCCCCACGCCCCGCACCUAUUGUCUCCUGUGCUAGAAGCUUUGCAGAAAACCUGGAA
Unclassified non-coding RNA from Prolemur simus (greater bamboo lemur), 128 nucleotides. NCBI's taxonomy places the organism in Eukaryota, Metazoa, Chordata, Mammalia, Primates, Lemuridae. The record is from Ensembl.